This 427-nucleotide ribosomal RNA is filed under the name uncultured bacterium. Its description in RNAcentral is "bacterial SSU rRNA". It matches the Rfam family "Bacterial small subunit ribosomal RNA", at positions 355 to 774 of the family's 1533-position model. The record is from RNAcentral.
UAGGGAAUAUUGGACAAUGGGGGCAACCCUGAUCCAGCCAUGCCGCGUGAGUGAAGAAGGCCCUCGGGUUGUAAAGCUCUUUUGUCCGGAAAGAAAAGCUUCGGGUUAAUACCCCGGGGUUCUGACGGUACCGGAAGAAUAAGCACCGGCUAACUUCGUGCCAGCAGCCGCGGUAAUACGAAGGGUGCAAGCGUUACUCGGAAUUACUGGGCGUAAAGCGUGCGUAGGUGGUUGUUUAAGUCUGAUGUGAAAGCCCUGGGCUCAACCUGGGAAUGGCAUUGGAAACUGGGCAGCUAGAGUGCGGUAGAGGGUAGUGGAAUUCCCGGUGUAGCAGUGAAAUGCGUAGAGAUCGGGAGGAACAUCUGUGGCGAAGGCGACUGCCUGGACCAGCACUGACACUGAGGCACGAAAGCGUGGGGAGCAACCA